CUUUACCUUAUGGUUCCCCCACAGUCGAGCCAGUCCGUUGGGAUCCACUAUCCGGAAUAUUUUGGAUUCUUUGUCCUCCCAUCGGAUGAAGUUUUCGUACCGGCUGUCAGACAGCAACUGAUAGACGUAAUCCCACAGCAGCCUGCAGUCUACGGAGGAAAAGGACAAGGAAACACUUGAAAGUGUUUCUAGUGGAGGCACCAAGAACAGGCAUCAGAAAAUACUGGAGUAACUGCUUUGAAAGCAGAUUUGACAAUUCUACUUCCUGUUUGCCAGCAAGACAUCAAGGCCAGGCUCACAAGCAUUUGAUCACAGAGGCUUGAUGACACCCUUGGGCUCAUCUCAAUGAGGAAUGUGAUUCUCUAGUCCCCUCUCUUCGUCCAUCAUGAGUUCAAACCAUAUGAACUAUUCUGAGGAUUCCUUUGAUC
This is a long non-coding RNA of Talpa occidentalis (Iberian mole), 428 nucleotides long. RefSeq lists it as uncharacterized. The transcript is spliced from 3 exons. The record is from RefSeq and is a predicted model, not a curated record. NCBI's taxonomy places the organism in Eukaryota, Metazoa, Chordata, Mammalia, Eulipotyphla, Talpidae.